This 72-nucleotide transfer RNA is filed under the name Camelus bactrianus (Bactrian camel). It matches the Rfam family "tRNA". From Rfam's summary of the family: Transfer RNA (tRNA) molecules are approximately 80 nucleotides in length. Their secondary structure includes four short double-helical elements and three loops (D, anti-codon, and T loops). RNAcentral also lists the same sequence under 2 other names. Lineage: Eukaryota; Metazoa; Chordata; Mammalia; Artiodactyla; Camelidae. The record is from Rfam by way of RNAcentral.
GAGGGCAGAGCUCAGUGGUAGAGUGCGUGCUUAGCACGCAUGAGGUCCUGGGUUCAAUCCCCAGUACCUCCA